UACAGAGGGUGCGAGCGUUAAUCGGAAUGACUGGGCGUAAAGGGCGCGUAGGUGGAUGUGUGUGUUGGAUGUGAAAGCCCCGGGCUCAACCUGGGAAUUGCAUACAAAACUGCACAUCUAGAGUAGAGCAGAGGUAAGUGGAAUUUCCGGAGUAGCGGUGAAAUGCGUAGAUACCGGAAGGAACACCAGUGGCGAAGGCGACUUACUGGGCUCAAACUGACACUGAGGCGCGAAAGCGUGGGGAGCAAAC
RNAcentral lists this ribosomal RNA (250 nucleotides) under uncultured bacterium. RNAcentral describes it as "partial 16S ribosomal RNA". It matches the Rfam family "Bacterial small subunit ribosomal RNA", at positions 524 to 773 of the family's 1533-position model. The record is from RNAcentral.